GUAUGAAAUGAUGGUAUACCAUCUUUCGGGACUGACUUGUCAUGGAGAGAUUUCUUUUACUUUACUGAUCAUGC
Chanos chanos (milkfish) is the source of this 74-nucleotide small nucleolar RNA. RefSeq annotates it as small nucleolar RNA SNORD2. NCBI's taxonomy places the organism in Eukaryota, Metazoa, Chordata, Actinopteri, Gonorynchiformes, Chanidae. The record is from RefSeq and is a predicted model, not a curated record. The transcript has a single exon.